This 253-nucleotide ribosomal RNA is filed under the name uncultured bacterium. RNAcentral's name for it is "partial 16S ribosomal RNA". It matches the Rfam family "Bacterial small subunit ribosomal RNA", at positions 524 to 776 of the family's 1533-position model. The record is from RNAcentral.
UACGAAGGGUGCAACCGUUGCUCGGAAUUAUUGGGCGUAAAGCGCACGUAGGCGGCUUGGCAAGUCGGAUGUGAAAUCCCUCGGCUCAACCAAGGAAGUGCAUCCGAAACUGCUGAGCUUGAGUACUUAAGAGGAUCGCGGAAUUCCCGGUGUAGAGGUGAAAUUCGUAGAUAUCGGGAGGAACACCGGUGGCGAAGGCGGAUCUCUGGGCCAUUACUGACGCUGAGGAGCGAAAGCGUGGGGAGCGAACAGG